RNAcentral lists this ribosomal RNA (497 nucleotides) under uncultured bacterium. RNAcentral describes it as "partial 16S ribosomal RNA". It matches the Rfam family "Bacterial small subunit ribosomal RNA", at positions 28 to 507 of the family's 1533-position model. The record is from RNAcentral.
GAUGAACGCUGGCGGCGUGCCUAAUACAUGCAAGUCGAGCGAACGGACGAGAAGCUUGCUUCUCUGAUGUUAGCGGCGGACGGGUGAGUAACACGUGGAUAACCUACCUAUAAGACUGGGAUAACUUCGGGAAACCGGAGCUAAUACCGGAUAAUAUUUUGAACCGCAUGGUUCAAAAGUAAAAGACGGUCUUGCUGUCACUUAUAGAUGGAUCCGCGCUGCAUUAGCUAGUUGGUAAGGUAACGGCUUACCAAGGCAACGAUGCAUAGCCGAACUGAGAGAGUGAUCGGCCACACUGGAACUGGGACACGGUCCAGACUCCUACGGGAGGCAGCAGUAGGGAAUCUUCCGCAAUGGGCGAAAGCCUGACGGAGCAACGCCGAGUGAGUGAUGAAGGUCUUCGGAUCGUAAAACUCUGUUAGUAGGGAAGAACAUAUGUGUAAGUAACUGUGCACAUCUUGACGGUACCUAAUCAGAAAGCCACGGCUAACUACGUG